AAACUUUUAACAACGGAUCUCUUGGCUCUCGCAUCGAUGAAGAACGCAGCGAAAUGCGAUAAGUAAUGUGAAUUGCAGAAUUCAGUGAAUCAUCGAAUCUUUGAACGCACCUUGCGCUCCUUGAUAUUCCGAGGAGCAUGCCUGUUUGAGUGUCAUA
This 157-nucleotide ribosomal RNA is filed under the name uncultured Tremellomycetes. Its description in RNAcentral is "5.8S ribosomal RNA". It matches the Rfam family "5.8S ribosomal RNA". Rfam says of the family: 5.8S ribosomal RNA (5.8S rRNA) is a component of the large subunit of the eukaryotic ribosome. It is transcribed by RNA polymerase I as part of the 45S precursor that also contains 18S and 28S rRNA. Functionally, it is thought that 5.8S rRNA may be involved in ribosome translocation. The record is from RNAcentral. Lineage: Eukaryota; Fungi; Basidiomycota; Tremellomycetes.